RNAcentral lists this ribosomal RNA (810 nucleotides) under Saccharomonospora sp. 41611. Its description in RNAcentral is "bacterial SSU rRNA". It matches the Rfam family "Bacterial small subunit ribosomal RNA", at positions 71 to 892 of the family's 1533-position model. The record is from RNAcentral. Lineage: Bacteria; Bacillati; Actinomycetota; Actinomycetes; Pseudonocardiales; Pseudonocardiaceae.
AAGCCCAGCUUGCUGGGUGGAUGAGUGGCGAACGGGUGAGUAACACGUGGGUAAUCUGCCCUGUACUCUGGGAUAAGCCUGGGAAACUGGGUCUAAUACCGGAUAGGACACACUGCCGCAUGGUGGUGUGUGGAAAGCUCCGGCGGUACAGGUUGAGCCCGCGGCCUAUCAGCUUGUUGGUGGGGUGAUGGCCUACCAAGGCGACGACGGGUAGCCGGCCUGAGAGGGUGACCGGCCACACUGGGACUGAGACACGGCCCAGACUCCUACGGGAGGCAGCAGUGGGGAAUAUUGCACAAUGGGCGCAAGCCUGAUGCAGCGACGCCGCGUGGGGGAUGACGGCCUUCGGGUUGUAAACCCCUUUCGCCAGGGACGAAGCGUAAGUGACGGUACCUGGAGAAGAAGCACCGGCCAACUACGUGCCAGCAGCCGCGGUAAUACGUAGGGUGCAAGCGUUGUCCGGAAUUAUUGGGCGUAAAGAGCUCGUAGGCGGUGUGUCACGUCUGCCGUGAAAACCUGCGGCUUAACCGUGGGCGUGCGGUGGAUACGGGCAUCACUUGAGUUCGGUAGGGGAGACUGGAAUUCCUGGUGUAGCGGUGGAAUGCGCAGAUAUCAGGAGGAACACCGGUGGCGAAGGCGGGUCUCUGGGCCGAUACUGACGCUGAGGAGCGAAAGCGUGGGGAGCGAACAGGAUUAGAUACCCUGGUAGUCCACGCCGUAAACGUUGGGCGCUAGGUGUGGGGCGCUGUUCACGUGUCCCGUGCCGUAGCUAACGCAUUAAGCGCCCCGCCUGGGGAGUACGGCCGCAAG